GAUUAACGCUAGCGGCGUGCAUAAUGCAUGCAAGUCGAACGGUUCUGAUUUAUCAGGACAGUGGCAAACGGGUGCGUAAUACGUAGGUAACCUGCCCUUAAGUGGGGAAUAAUUCGCCGAAAGGUGGACUAAUACCGCAUGUGGUCCUUUUUCACAAGCAGAAGGAUUAAAGCCGCAAGGCGCUUGAGGAGGGGCUUACGUCCUAUCAGGUUGUUGGUGGGGUAACGGCUCACCAAGCCUAUGACGGGUAGCUGGUCUGAGAGGACGACCAGCCACAUUGGGACUGAGACACGGCCCAGACUCCUACGGGAGGCAG
Molecule: ribosomal RNA, 316 nt
Filed under: uncultured Chloroflexota bacterium
Lineage: Bacteria; Bacillati; Chloroflexota
Description: bacterial SSU rRNA
Rfam family: Bacterial small subunit ribosomal RNA
Source: RNAcentral